Molecule: ribosomal RNA, 370 nt
Filed under: uncultured bacterium
Lineage: Bacteria
Description: bacterial SSU rRNA
Rfam family: Bacterial small subunit ribosomal RNA
Source: RNAcentral
GAUGAACGCUAGCGGCAGGCUUAACACAUGCAAGUCGAGGGGUAUUGGUUUUCGGACCAAGAGACCGGCGCACGGGUGCGUAACGCGUAUGCAAUCUACCUUUUGCAGAGGGAUAGCCCCAGAGAAAUUUGGAUUAAUACCUCAUAGUAUAGUACUUUGGCAUCAAGGAACUAUUAAAGUCACAACGGCAAAGAUGAGCAUGCGUCCCAUUAGCUAGUUGGUAAGGUAACGGCUUACCAAGGCUACGAUGGGUAGGGGUCCUGAGAGGGAGAUCCCCCACACUGGUACUGAGACACGGACCAGACUCCUACGGGAGGCAGCAGUGAGGAAUAUUGGACAAUGGGCGAAAGCCUGAUCCAGCAAUGCCGCG